GGCUCCGUAGCUCAGUUGGAUAGAGCAGGGGACUUCUAAGCCCAAGGUCACUGGUUCGAUCCCAGUCGGAGCCACCA
This 77-nucleotide transfer RNA is filed under the name bacterium. RNAcentral describes it as "tRNA-Arg". It matches the Rfam family "tRNA". Rfam says of the family: Transfer RNA (tRNA) molecules are approximately 80 nucleotides in length. The record is from RNAcentral.